RNAcentral lists this ribosomal RNA (532 nucleotides) under Bifidobacterium dentium. Its description in RNAcentral is "bacterial SSU rRNA". It matches the Rfam family "Bacterial small subunit ribosomal RNA", at positions 160 to 702 of the family's 1533-position model. Lineage: Bacteria; Bacillati; Actinomycetota; Actinomycetes; Bifidobacteriales; Bifidobacteriaceae. The record is from RNAcentral.
GUGGUAAUGCCGGAUGCUCCGGUUGGAUGCAUGUCCUUCCGGGAAAGGUUCCAUCGGUAUGGGAUGGGGUCGCGUCCUAUCAGCUUGAUGGCGGGGUAACGGCCCACCAUGGCUUCGACGGGUAGCCGGCCUGAGAGGGCGACCGGCCACAUUGGGACUGAGAUACGGCCCAGACUCCUACGGGAGGCAGCAGUGGGGAAUAUUGCACAAUGGGCGCAAGCCUGAUGCAGCGACGCCGCGUGCGGGAUGGAGGCCUUCGGGUUGUAAACCGCUUUUGAUCGGGAGCAAGCCCUUCGGGGUGAGUGUACCUUUCGAAUAAGCACCGGCUAACUACGUGCCAGCAGCCGCGGUAAUACGUAGGGUGCAAGCGUUAUCCGGAAUUAUUGGGCGUAAAGGGCUCGUAGGCGGUUCGUCGCGUCCGGUGUGAAAGCCCAUCGCUUAACGGUGGGUCUGCGCCGGGUACGGGCGGGCUGGAGUGCGGUAGGGGAGACUGGAAUUCCCGGUGUAACGGUGGAAUGUGUAGAUAUCGGGA